RNAcentral lists this ribosomal RNA (253 nucleotides) under uncultured bacterium. Its description in RNAcentral is "partial 16S ribosomal RNA". It matches the Rfam family "Bacterial small subunit ribosomal RNA", at positions 524 to 776 of the family's 1533-position model. The record is from RNAcentral.
UACGAAGGGGGCUAGCGUUGUUCGGAAUUACUGGGCGUAAAGCGCGUGUAGGCGGGUCUUUAAGCCAGGGGUGAAAUGCCAAGGCUCAACCUUGGAACUGCCUUUGAUACUGGAGACCUUGAGUCCGGGAGAGGUGAGUGGAAUUGCGAGUGUAGAGGUGAAAUUCGUAGAUAUUCGCAAGAACACCAGUGGCGAAGGCGGCUCACUGGCCCGGAACUGACGCUGAGACGCGAAAGCGUGGGGAGCAAACAGG